CGGCCUUUAUCAGCCAAUGAUGGUUCCAGCCCACAGGUGGAGCGUUAAUAGCGCAAAUACAGGCUGCGGAAAUGCGAAAAGCAUAAAUUUAUUUACCUUAGAUUCUGGGUUUCCUAUAAAUAGGAAAUAAAUCCCAGAAUCGUUCUCUUUUGGCUGGUGAAUCUAGAACGGUCUAGAAGUGCGCGCGUGUGUAGCUUUUUAUUAAAUAGAGGUGUUAGUCCGUUAGUAAAAACGGCUAAUUGUAGUACGUCGAAUUAAAAUUGUGUUAGUAAAAGUUAAGAUUGUAAAAAUCCGAUUGUUAAAAGUUAAUUGUUCAAACACAAACAUCGACAAACAAGAAGAAACUAUAAGAAAAAGGUCCGAGGCAAGGGCCUUUUUCUUUUAUUUUGGGCUUUUUCCCAGCAAACGGCCGGAGAAAGCGACGACGAGCCACCUCGAGCGAUGCACAAAAGCCAAUGCCAGCCAUAAGACGCCAUUGUCGAUGGCAUCCCACGGUUCGAACGCCUAGGAACCCCCUCACCUGGCGACAAGCUCCCCUGCAACCAUCCGCCAUUGCGAAAGCGGCAUUUUCGCCUUUGGAUUCCGCACCAUCUCGCCCGGUUGCUAGCUGUAAUCGCCGAUUGCUGUAAACCUCCUUGGAGUCUGGCGCAAACAUCCAACACCAGUUCGGCAUUCGUUGUCGGAUCCUACCUCCACCAUUCGGAACCAGAGGUUCCCUACCACACCACUACAAACCACAAACCGCAAGUACUAAAACCCCAAAGUGACGUAGUUAAUAAAUAGGACUAGUUUGUAAAGAUGUCCAGUGGUAGCUUAUUUAAAGAGCAUAGCCCUGAGGUAAAGCUUUUCCACCACUUUGUUCUUUUCCGCUUUGUCGAGCUCAAACGGAGCUAUCAGGCCUCGCCUUUCUGGAAUUCUCCCCCAACGUAAAACUGUUAUUAUGCUUUCCGUAUCAAACAGCCGACCUAUUAGCGAAACAUUGGUGGGUAAGUAUACCACAAAAAGGUCCUGCACAAUAGGUCUGUCCUCAGCUGGAGAUUUGAGAGACAAGUCAGUUCCAAACGACCCCGA
Molecule: long non-coding RNA, 1071 nt
Organism: Armigeres subalbatus
Lineage: Eukaryota; Metazoa; Arthropoda; Insecta; Diptera; Culicidae
Exons: 4
Source: RefSeq, a predicted model, not a curated record